Pongo pygmaeus (Bornean orangutan) is the source of this 1466-nucleotide long non-coding RNA. RefSeq lists it as uncharacterized. The record is from RefSeq and is a predicted model, not a curated record. NCBI's taxonomy places the organism in Eukaryota, Metazoa, Chordata, Mammalia, Primates, Hominidae. The transcript is spliced from 3 exons.
GCCUAGCUCAGGCUGCCGAUCCGCUCGCUCUCUGUGCGUUGGGACCGCGGAGGGCAUUCGCUGUGUGACUCAGGGCAAAUGUGCGCACCUCUCUGAGCCUCCGCGGCAUUCUCUAGCAAAAUGGUGGAGCCGGUACCCGGCUGUAAGGCAAGCUGGGAUGCGCGGAGUAGCGGGUGGAAAGCUGGACUGGAGUUCUCACUCGGCCGCUGGGUGACUUCGGUGCACUAGGGAUAGCAACAGUACCACCUCGUAGGGUUAUAGAAAGACCAAGUGAGUUAAUAUUUGUGAAGUGUUCAGAACAGCGUCUACUGCAUGGAAAGUAGUAUUUAUUUGUUAGAGAGACUCCAGGAGGUCUUGCCCAGUGAUUGACUUCUCCCUUCCCUGUCUCCACCCCCCACAUUCCCGUUUGUGAGCCAAGCCUUGCUUUUGCACCGGCCGGGCUCUCUUGCCUAGAAAUGCAUACCCAUCUCAAACCUGGGCUUUAAAAUCACCUCCUCUGGGACCCCUUCCUCUACUUCUCACAGUUCAGGCCUGUUCUGCCCCACACAGCAGAAAAUGACCACGAUGCAAUACCAGAGUCUGCAUAGGACCAUUUCAACAACCCUUAGAAGCUGACUCAGCUGUUUCCUGGCCCUGACUUUUCUAAGAUAAGAGGAGCUGAUAGGAACAAUUUGGGAACCCUCAAAGGCUGAGAGUAUCCCACCCACUUCACAGAUGAAGCAAACUGAGGCCCAGAGAAGGGAAAUUACUUGCCCAAGAUCACCCAGCAAGUAAGAAACAGAGCUGGAGAUGAGCUCAGGUCAGCACGGAACCACGCAAACUCCUGUAGGCUUUGUAAAGGACUGAUGAGAAAAGCAGAUGGUUAAGAGCUCUACAACUUCUGUGAGGUAAAGAAUAUCUGCAGGGCUGGAUGUGGCGGCUCUUGCCUGUAAUCUUAGCACUUUGGGAGGCCAAAGUGGGUGGAUUGCUUGAGUCCAGGAGUUCAAGACCAGCCUGGGCAACAUGGUAAAACUCUGUCUCUCUAAAAAAAAAAAAAAAAAAAUUAGCCGAGUGUGGUGUUGUGUGCUUGUAGUCCCAGCUACUUUGGAGGCUGAAGCGGAAGGAUCCCUUGGCUCAGGAGGCAGAGGUUGCAGUGAGCUGAGAUUGUGCCACUGCACUUCAGCUUGGGUGACAGAGCCAGACCUUAUUUAAAAAAAAAAAAAAAAAAAAAAGAAUAUCUGUGAUUACAAGAUUGCAAUGCAAUUUUGAAAGCCUGCUGUUGCCCAGCUGGACAGCUAGAGUUAUUCUCAGUGGUGGGAUGGCUGAACUGGGGGCCCACUGUGGAGAGCUGGUUUCCCGCUGGAGUUCUCUGAAAAGGUGCCUGAUUUCACAGCUCUGAUUCUACAGAGGGAGGCCAGGCCCUUCACGUAAUUGCUACCCUUCUUUAUUUAUGGAGCUAUUCCUCUGUCGGGAUGUCCUUAUAUGUG